CACGGACCCAGCUCCAGGGAUUUGGGGUCCGUGAGCAGUGUGGACCUUUAGUAUUAUUAUUAUUAUUAUUAUUGUUGUUAUUGUAUUGGAUGUAUGUUUUCUGCACUGUGCUCUUGUGUUCCAUGCUGGUGGGUGUAUGUGUGCGGGUGUGGCUGGAGGACGAAGGACAGCCACCUGCAGGCCUGAUGGGUGUGGCCCUGCCAGCUGCCGGUCACGCCCAGGUUCUCACACACCUGCUUCUGAUCAGGCUCGUCGGGGGAGCUACAUAACAGAGCGAUGGGGCUUCCUCCGGCGCAGGAUCGUUGAGUUAGACUUCAUGAGGAGAGCGGAACACAGGACUGCAGGACGCACGGGGUGUGCGUAGGCACAGGGGCAGAGAGCACAGGAUAUCAGCACUUAGGGGAAGACACGUCACGGGAGUCAAGGGAGCACUCUGGAGAAUUAUUGUGUGGUGUACAUUUACCCCCACUGUAAAUAAAUGCACUGCUCAUUCCACUAAGUCCAGCGUUUGGGUCCUAUCUCCAUCAUUCCCCACGGUCUGCCUGCCAGACCUUGACAGAGACUGUCCGAGCCGGGGCUCGAACCUUCCGAUUACAAGGCGAACUCCCAACUCCUGAGCCACGAUUGCCCACAGUUAAUGUGUCGUCUUCUGUA
Long non-coding RNA from Oreochromis niloticus (Nile tilapia), 654 nucleotides. RefSeq lists it as uncharacterized. The record is from RefSeq and is a predicted model, not a curated record. The transcript has 2 exons. NCBI's taxonomy places the organism in Eukaryota, Metazoa, Chordata, Actinopteri, Cichliformes, Cichlidae.